This 440-nucleotide ribosomal RNA is filed under the name uncultured bacterium. Its description in RNAcentral is "partial 16S ribosomal RNA". It matches the Rfam family "Bacterial small subunit ribosomal RNA", at positions 338 to 795 of the family's 1533-position model. The record is from RNAcentral.
CCUACGGGUGGCUGCAGUGGGGAAUAUUGCACAAUGGGGGAAACCCUGAUGCAGCGACGCCGCGUGAGUGAAGAAGUAUUUCGGUAUGUAAAGCUCUAUCAGCAGGGAAGAUAAUGACGGUACCUGACUAAGAAGCCCCGGCUAACUACGUGCCAGCAGCCGCGGUAAUACGUAGGGGGCAAGCGUUAUCCGGAUUUACUGGGUGUAAAGGGAGCGUAGACGGCAGAGCAAGUCUGAAGUGAAAGCCCGCGGCCCAACUGCGGGACUGCUUUGGAAACUGCCCGGCUAGAGUGCUGGAGAGGUAAGCGGAAUUCCUAGUGUAGCGGUGAAAUGCGUAGAUAUUAGGAGGAACACCAGUGGCGAAGGCGGCUUACUGCAGCGGAACUGACGCUGAUGCUCGAAAGCGCGGGUAUCGAACAGGAUUAGAUACCCCAGUAGUC